AGCUUUGCGCAGUGGCAGUAUGGGAGCCAAUGAAGUUUAUCCGAGGCGCGAUUAUUGCAAAUAGAAUAUGGUGGCCACAUGCAGCUGGUUCAUUUUGGAGAAGUCUCUGCUUAAAGAUACACUGAUGUA
Molecule: small nuclear RNA, 129 nt
Organism: Panthera tigris altaica (Amur tiger)
Lineage: Eukaryota; Metazoa; Chordata; Mammalia; Carnivora; Felidae
Gene: U4
Rfam family: U4 spliceosomal RNA
About the family: U4 small nuclear RNA (U4 snRNA) is a component of the major U2-dependent spliceosome. The structure of U4 snRNA from yeast and human has been reported. U4 snRNA presents a k-turn RNA motif in the 5p-SL related to recognition of Snu13 protein.
Source: Ensembl